UACGUAGGGGGCAAGCGUUGUCCGGAUUUACUGGGCGUAAAGAGCGUGUAGGCGGCCAAGCAGGUCCGUUGUGAAAACUGGAGGCUUAACCUCCAGACGUCGACGGAAACCACGUGGCUAGAGUCCGGAAGAGGAGAGUGGAAUUCCUGGUGUAGCGGUGAAAUGCGCAGAUAUCAGGAAGAACACCAAUGGCGAAGGCAGCUCUCUGGGACGGUACUGACGCUGAGACGCGAAAGCGUGGGGAGCGAACAGG
RNAcentral lists this ribosomal RNA (253 nucleotides) under uncultured bacterium. RNAcentral's name for it is "partial 16S ribosomal RNA". It matches the Rfam family "Bacterial small subunit ribosomal RNA", at positions 524 to 776 of the family's 1533-position model. The record is from RNAcentral.